GGGUUUCAGUCUGAUAAGGGAGACAACAUUUUCUGCACCGAUGUCUAACACGUUCAGAAAGGAAGAGAAUGAGAAAAAGAGAAGAUUUUGGACGCAUUGGAAAAAAUCGGCAGGUUCGUUUUAAUAAAGAUUUUCUGCAAAAGAUGCGAGGAAGGGCUUUAUGCAGACAAGAAAUUAAAGGCUGCAGUGUGGAGCCUGCUGCUCAUGGAGCCACUGCGGAGAGUCUUGUGCCAACAGCAGCAUAUGGUGACAUUGGUUUAGGGACGGAGUUGUAAAACAGCAGGAAAUUCUAUUAUCAGCCGUGGAGGUCCACCCUCUGAGGCUGCUUUGAAUCCAUAUUUCUCCAUAACGAGCAGGAGCUCGCAGGGAUAAAUCCAGUUAGAGGGAAUUUGGAGAGAAACGCGCAUCGUUUUGGAGAAAG
Long non-coding RNA from Cyprinodon variegatus (sheepshead minnow), 421 nucleotides. RefSeq lists it as uncharacterized. The record is from RefSeq and is a predicted model, not a curated record. The transcript has 3 exons. Lineage: Eukaryota; Metazoa; Chordata; Actinopteri; Cyprinodontiformes; Cyprinodontidae.